GGAAGUAAAAGUCGUAACAAGGUUUCCGUAGGUGAACCUGCGGAAGGAUCAUUACUGAUUUAGCGAACCGAGCGUUAGCGAGGUUUUGCGAUCACUUAUAUUUAAAACCCACUCUUUGAACGUAUAAAAUUUUAUGUAUUAAUGAUAAAAAUAAAAGAUCACUUUCAACAACGGAUCUCUUGGCUCUCGCAUCGAUGAAGAACGUAGCGAAGUGCGAUAAGUAAUGUGAAUUGCAGUAUUCCGUGAAUCAUCGAACCUUUGAACGCAUAUUGCACUUUCUGGUAUUCCGGAAAGUAUGCCUGUUUGAGGGUCAGUUAAAUAAAAAUCGGUGUUGUUGCUGCCUUUCGUGGUGACGCGUCGGAAUUGAGUUGUCUUACCUUCGGUUAAGUGACUUAAAAUUUUGUAUGAUUUUCGAACGUAUUUAAAUUUAUUUGUACGUUUGAGAUGUCGAAUGUUUAUUAGGUUCGGUCAUUCUAAUGACUCGCGCCUAUAGUUUUUCAUUAAAUGACCUCAAAUCAGGUAAGAAUACCCGCUGAACUUAAGCGAUAUCAAUAAGCGGAGGA
RNAcentral lists this ribosomal RNA (563 nucleotides) under uncultured Glomus. RNAcentral's name for it is "eukaryotic LSU rRNA". The stretch from base 160 to 313 matches the Rfam family "5.8S ribosomal RNA". The record is from RNAcentral. Lineage: Eukaryota; Fungi; Glomeromycota; Glomeromycetes; Glomerales; Glomeraceae.